RNAcentral lists this ribosomal RNA (384 nucleotides) under uncultured bacterium. Its description in RNAcentral is "bacterial SSU rRNA". It matches the Rfam family "Bacterial small subunit ribosomal RNA", at positions 29 to 417 of the family's 1533-position model. The record is from RNAcentral.
AGCGAACGUUUGCGGCGGGCCUAACACAUGCAAGUCGAACGCACUAGCAAUAGUGAGUGGCGCACGGGUGCGUAACACGUGGGUAAUCAACCCUUCAGCUUGGGAUAACGACUUGAAAGGGUCGCUAAUACCGGAUACGGCGCGAGAGGCUUCGGCUUCUCACGAGAAAGCCUCGCAAGGGGCACUGAAGGACGAGCCUGCGGCCCAUCAGCUAGUUGGUGAGGUAAGAGCUCACCAAGGCUAAGACGGGUAGCUGGUCUGAGAGGAUGAUCAGCCACACUGGAACUGAGACACGGUCCAGACUCCUACGGGAGGCAGCAGUGGGGAAUAUUGGACAAUGGGGGCAACCCUGAUCUAGCCAUGCCGCGUGUGUGAAGAAGGCCC